RNAcentral lists this ribosomal RNA (253 nucleotides) under uncultured bacterium. RNAcentral's name for it is "partial 16S ribosomal RNA". It matches the Rfam family "Bacterial small subunit ribosomal RNA", at positions 524 to 776 of the family's 1533-position model. The record is from RNAcentral.
UACGUAGGGUGCGAGCGUUGUCCGGAAUUACUGGGCGUAAAGCGUGCGCAGGCGGUGAUGUAAGACAGAUGUGAAAUCCCCGGGCUCAACCUGGGAACUGCAUUUGUGACUGCAUCGCUGGAGUGCGGCAGAGGGGGAUGGAAUUCCGCGUGUAGCAGUGAAAUGCGUAGAUAUGCGGAGGAACACCGAUGGCGAAGGCAGCCCCCUGGGCUGAGAUUGACGCUCAGGCACGAAAGCGUGGGGAGCGAACAGG